UACAGAGGUCUCAAGCGUUGUUCGGAUUCAUUGGGCGUAAAGGGUGCGUAGGUGGCGCCGUAAGUCAGGUGUGAAAUUUCGGAGCUUAACUCCGAAACUGCAUUUGAUACUGCGGUGCUUGAGGACUGGAGAGGAGACUGGAAUUCACGGUGUAGCAGUGAAAUGCGUAGAUAUCAGGAGGAAUACCGAUGGCGAAGGCAGGUCUCUGGGCUGACACUGACGCUCAUGCACGAAAGCGUGGGGAGCAAACAGG
Molecule: ribosomal RNA, 253 nt
Filed under: uncultured bacterium
Lineage: Bacteria
Description: partial 16S ribosomal RNA
Rfam family: Bacterial small subunit ribosomal RNA
Source: RNAcentral